Cyprinus carpio (common carp) is the source of this 1186-nucleotide long non-coding RNA. Lineage: Eukaryota; Metazoa; Chordata; Actinopteri; Cypriniformes; Cyprinidae. The record is from Ensembl.
UGGAAGUCAGUGGGCCUUCUGCUUUUCACUGUAAGCAAAAAAAAGCCUAUACCUGCAAUGUACAGUUUAUAUAAUUACAAUUUUUAUAGAGGCUGAUAAUGCUUUUUACAUUUUCUUUCUUAUUCAGGCUUCUCAGGCUCUUAAGCAGGUGUUUGUGCAUGAUGGCUCUUAUUCCUGCCAUCAGAUGAGCCACUUGUGUAGCGGGUGUUCUGCUGAGGUCUGCUUGAUGUUCUGCUCAGAGGCUGAUGAUGCUGGAAUCAUGCAUGAACAAGAGAGAUCAGAGAGACAGGUGGAGAGCCGAGAUGAAGCUGGUAUCUAGAGAUAAGAAGGCAGAUACAGGACACUGAUGAUUACUGUCUUUAAGGGCAGAUUAAAGGGCAUCGUUAAUCAUCUCAUCACCAUGGCUCCAGCAGAGAUAUCAUCACUGUAUCUUCAGUCUCACUCUGGAUCGCUGCCAGAUGUUAGCUUGCCUAAAAUCAAGAAAUCGAAUGCCACAAAAACAUUCAAAAAAAAAACACACUUGUCCAUGGGGAACUCCAUAUGCCACAGAAUCAAUCGAACCACCAGUAUGACUGCCCCAUUUAUCUUCAAACAUAACGAUGGUUGGAGGAAAGAAAGUAGUCCAGUUGGAUUGAAAUUGUACCCCCCUCCUCCCUCCUUCCUAUAUUAGAUAUACAGUGUAAUUUGUGAUCAAUCCAGAGGUAGGGAAAAGCGGUAGAAGAAGACUGUGUCCUCUCAGAUGUGGCAGGGCUGGAUUGAGUCUUAAUCAUCCAUACUAUCAGCACAGACUGUGAAUAAGCCCCUGAUGAUCCCUUCAUUUUGCUUUGUUGGAAAUGUACAGAAAACCACCAUCUUCCUUUAGUUUCCCAGUGCAUGCAUAUAUGCAUGUGCGUGUGCACACGUCCACACAUUUUGACAGGCCAUAUAGUAAUUUUUUGUUGACUAAAUCUCUCUGUGCUCUUGUAAAUUAGAAUGCCUUGGGCUUUGAGUGCUAUCUGUGACACUGGGCAGAUGGUGAGGUUGAACUCCAGAGUAAUGAAUCAAUGGUUAAAAAAAAGAGCACCCUUGAAAUAACCUCUAAAUUGGUGCUCGAACAAAUAUAAAAUGCACAUUUAAAAUAUCAACCAUUUAUGGACUAUUUAGAUUAAAAAAUGUUUGCAUGAAUAAACAAAGAAACAAACAAACA